Molecule: long non-coding RNA, 192 nt
Organism: Pollicipes pollicipes
Lineage: Eukaryota; Metazoa; Arthropoda; Thecostraca; Pollicipedomorpha; Pollicipedidae
Exons: 3
Source: RefSeq, a predicted model, not a curated record
CCUGGUCCGACGACGUCAGCGGCGUCACCAUGGUGGACACCCAGGUGAAGCCCCGUGACGUUCUGCUCAAGUGCUCGCUAGACCAGGCCGGCACGCGGGCCUCCAUCGUCGUCGCGUGGCAGCCGCCCGUCAACGCGGCCGGCGUCCGCCAGUACACGGUCACGGUGACAGGCAAGUCCGAGUACUUCGACA